GACGAACGCUGGCGGCGUGCCUAAUACAUGCAAGUAGAACGCUGAAGAGAGGAGCUUGCUCUUCUUGGAUGAGUUGCGAACGGGUGAGUAACGCGUAGGUAACCUGCCUUGUAGCGGGGGAUAACUAUUGGAAACGAUAGCUAAUACCGCAUAACAAUGGAUGACACAUGUCAUUUAUUUGAAAGGGGCAAUUGCUCCACUACAAGAUGGACCUGCGCUGUAUUAGCUAGUAGGUGAGGUAAUGGCUCACCUAGGCGACGAUACAUAGCCGACCUGAGAGGGUGAUCGGCCACACUGGGACUGAGACACGGCCCAGGCUCCUACGGGAGGCAGCAGUAGGGAAUCUUCGGCAAUGGGGGCAACCCUGACCGAGCAACGCCGCGUGAGUGAAGAAGGUUUUCGGAUCGUAAAGCUCUGUUGUAAGUCAAGAACGGGUGUGAGAGUGGAAAGUUCACACUGUGACGGUAGCUUACCAGAAAGGGACGGCUAACUACGUG
Molecule: ribosomal RNA, 497 nt
Filed under: uncultured bacterium
Lineage: Bacteria
Description: partial 16S ribosomal RNA
Rfam family: Bacterial small subunit ribosomal RNA
Source: RNAcentral